AUAACUGAAUUCACGAACUUCUGUUAGUUUCAAUGAAACAUAUAUUUCCAUCUAAUUGAAAAUAUAAUUGCUGUAAGUUCUGCUUUAUCUAACCGACUUAUUACAUUUUUAAAAAUGAUGGGAAUAUAGCAAAUACAAUUAAACAGAGAUAUGAAUAUAGAAAUAGAACAAGCAAAGAAGAGGAGGUGACUUGGUGAGAUGAUGAAUACAUGGGUUCGAGGUAGGGCUACCCAAGUGGGUUUUGUUUUGUUUCUUUUCUUUAUACACUUCUUCGUGUCUUGCUUUUCUUUUUGUCCUUUCGUUUACUUUAUUAGCCCACCCACUUUUUCACUUCUUAUCGGUUAAGGGACAAAUCGAUGGUUAGGAUGAGAGUGAAGAUUUGGUGAACAUAAGGUUGCGGUUGAAUUGUUGCUAAGCUUGAGAGGAUACUUCAUAAUCUUACUAGUUUGGUUGUUGAAACAACAUAACUAAAUCAGAGGAAGACAACAACUUAUACAAUAAGAGGAUUGAUAUCUACUUUGGUAAGAUGGUGAUCCUCUCAUUCAUAUACUGUAUUGUAUAUCUGAAUUUUUGGGGCAUUUUGUGGCCGUUCUGGAAGAGCAGCACACACUGUAACUUGUCAUGCCUCUCGAUAUAUGACAACUUCUUGUUAUUAAACGAUAUUAUACCUUUUUAAAUUGCCCGGUCAAUAUCGAAUUUCCAGUCCCGAAUGUUUACCCAUUCUUUCUUAGAUUUUCUUUUAAUUUCUUGGGAGAUCAGCAUGUCAUGGGUUCGCUAGUCAUUUCGUAAAGAGGUGGGC
Molecule: long non-coding RNA, 799 nt
Filed under: Brassica rapa (field mustard)
Lineage: Eukaryota; Viridiplantae; Streptophyta; Magnoliopsida; Brassicales; Brassicaceae
Description: long non-coding RNA (BRAP_LNC001022)
Source: RNAcentral